Molecule: long non-coding RNA, 440 nt
Filed under: Phoenix dactylifera (date palm)
Lineage: Eukaryota; Viridiplantae; Streptophyta; Magnoliopsida; Arecales; Arecaceae
Description: long non-coding RNA (PDAC_LNC004955)
Source: RNAcentral
UUGGUUCCUAGGGGGAUGGGGGAAAGCUACAGGUGGUGUGGUCAAGCCAAACUCGGGAUAAGCUGUGAUUGGGGUUGAUGGUUCCGGAGUCCUAGGGUGUUGUACUAGAGCACGGAUCUCACGUUUGAAUUCGUCUUGAUCAGCUCGUAUUGCAGCUAAUUGUUCCAAAAUAUCUUGUAUAACUCUGGGGUCCAUGGUGGAUAAAGGGGUUUGAGAGUCAGUGAGGAGGUACUCUCUACCACUACGGAUGGGCAUACAGGAACUACUCUAGUUGGUGAUAUGAUAUGCAAUACUACUAAUGAACCCUAACUGACCAAAUGUGAUGCAAGACAACCUACUAAUGCAACCUACUAUGAAUUCGGAAAUCAGCAAAUUUUCACUAAAGUAACUUAAAAUUAAAUGUUACUAAUUUGUACUUUGGUUAUUUCAGAAUUAAAGUA